GCUGGGAAAUGAACUCAGGUCCUCUACAAGAGCAGACUACUUGCACUAGGUCCCAGUACUCCCCAGCAUCACUAUACUGAAGACUAAGCAUCCAACAUGGGAAAUUUGGGGAAGCAAAUCGUAUCUAAACCAUGGUAGAAACCUCUGCCAGCAACAGGAACAGGGACACCAGGAAAUAACUUCUGAAUGAAAGAGACAAGACCCGCUUGAGUUUAGGCUGGUGGAGAGAAAGAGACGGCAUGAGUUCUAAGAGGAAACAUGGUGAAGGAGGUUCCUGAAAGUGAGGAUUAUAGCAAACAUAGACCCUGGUGCACAAGUGACUCUAGUCCUAGGUGCCUCUGGAGCCCCAGGUUCCCAUGCAGACAUGGCCAAGUCCAAGAACCACCCACACACAACCAGUCUAGAAAAUGGCAUCAAGAAACCAUAGUCAAAAGACACAAAUCUCUUCAGGGGGUAGACCUCAAGUUCCUGAGGAAAAUGCGUUUUUCCAAGAAGCACAACAGGAAGGGCCUGAAGAUGUAGGCCAACAACACCAAGGUCAUGAGUGCACUCGUCCAGGCUGUCAGGCCCUUGUGAAGCCCAAAGAGAUUAAGCCCAAGAGGCCAAAGGUCCCAUCAACAAGCUCCACUGACUUGCUUUCCUCACCCACCCCAAACUUGGGAAGUAGAUUCAUGGCUACAUGGCCAAGGGUUGCAGGCUCUGCCAAGCAGAGGUCAAGGCUGGGACUGCAGCUCCAGCUAAGACCCAGGCUCUAACUGAGGCUCCCAAAGGUGCCCAAGCCCCUGUAAUAAAGGUCUUUGCCAAUGUAAAGACA
Molecule: long non-coding RNA, 814 nt
Organism: Nannospalax galili (Upper Galilee mountains blind mole rat)
Lineage: Eukaryota; Metazoa; Chordata; Mammalia; Rodentia; Spalacidae
Exons: 4
Source: RefSeq, a predicted model, not a curated record